AGGAGUGGGAAAUUUGCCCACUCAGAGCCAGUGCAGCCCCUGUUCACUCUCGGCCAGGCCUUAGGCCAAGCUGUUUGUAUACUUGCUCAGAUCAACAAGCGGUAAGACACUGAAGGUCACAGGUUUAAUUUAUUAAGCCACCAAAGCACCAAUUCAGGUGGCCAUUUUCCCAGUGCGUGCAUAGUAACUGGUCCGCCAGUGUUGGUCAGUAAAAGGAAUCUAAUUCUUGGCAGAGCCAUCCUAGGACAGUUGGCUUGGAAUGUCCCAGGUUCUCAGCAGUUGAGCAGACCACUCACUGGCCACUAAGUGUGGUCAGCUGGUCCCUAGGAAGGCUCCAUGUGAGAUAGCUGGUAAUAUGAAGACUGAUGGAGGAUGGCCAUGGUGGUUUUUUUCCAUAGGCACUUCAGAGGGGCUUCUCUUGGAGGUAACUGUCUUGGGGUUUGGGUCAUGGGUGGAAACCUAGAGGUGGGGGGCUGAGUGAGCAUGUGGACUUUUCUGUUGGCUCAGGCACCUCCUCCAGCAGGAGUGUCCAAGAAAGAGACUUGGCUGUGGGCGUCAAGGCAUGAUCUCACAUGCUCCAGGAAGGUGACUCGUGUUCAGGGAUCUCUCUCCCCAGGGAACCAACUCUAUUCCUGUCCUGGACCCAUCCUCAUCUGUAUGGUAACUCCUAGCAUGUCAAUUUAUCUCUGUACAUUUCAGGGCCCUCACUCUAGAAUAUGGCUUACGACCCCUUUCUGUCCCCCCACACCUCAAAAGGGCCCACAUGGGGAUUACAGGAGAUGGUCAAAGGUGUCAUCCACGAGCUGUGAAACAGCUGCAUUUCUCCAAUGCCUCCAUGAAAUGAAGGAUCUUGCCUCAAGGAUUAAGAAGAAAUGUUCACCCGAGGUGAAGAAUAUCAACUGGCCUGAAGCAGUGAUUCGCGAAACAUCACAUCUGGCCAAACAACGGGAGGCCCCCUAUGGAUGGCCCACUUGAAGGCACCUGUCUGGACAGAAUGAGUUGGCCACUGUGCAGCUCGAGUGACUCUGAAAGGUCUAUGAUGACACCAUCACCAUGGCGACGAGAGAGACACCUCUGCUGUGCUGUCCAAAGGUCCCUCUUUGGGCUGAGUGAGUCAUUGAGACACGUACAACUCUCAAGGACGGAAACAGGAUUGGAAAUAUUUUGUGUGGCUGCUGUUGUGAUAUGUUCUUACAGAUCUCCGGACUGCUGUUUGCUGCUAACCAGAUAGUUCCCUCUUCCUCCAAAUAUUUUCUCAUCAAUGAUAAUUUUCUCUCUCCCAACUUGUCAUUCGGAGUUAUACAAAUGUUUUAUAGUUUAGUUUUAUCCCUUGAUUUCUAUUUUUGGUUAUUCUACCAAGCUAGCUGCCUUUUGUCCUUAGUUGUGAAAACUGUACUCCUCCCUGUGAUAUCCUGCACCACACCCUUGACACACUAGGUUCCCCUAGGGGAGAAAAUACGGCAAUGUCUAUUUUCAUUUCUGUCCAAAAUUAUAUAUUCCAAUAUAUGUUCAAUAUAUAUAUUCGCGAU
Mustela lutreola (European mink) is the source of this 1529-nucleotide long non-coding RNA. RefSeq lists it as uncharacterized. The transcript is spliced from 3 exons. The record is from RefSeq and is a predicted model, not a curated record. Lineage: Eukaryota; Metazoa; Chordata; Mammalia; Carnivora; Mustelidae.